GGCUUGUUUAGCUUGGAGAAGAGAAGGCUCUGAGGAGAACUCAUUGAAGCAUCCCAGUACUUGAAGGGAGCUUUUUACAUGGUUUGAUAGUGAUAGGACGAGAGAGAAUGGCUUUAAACUAAAAUAGCUGAAAUUUAGGUUGGAUGUUGGGAAGAAAUUCUUUACCCAGAGGAUGGUGAGGCACUGGCACAGGCUGCCAAGAGAAGCUGUGAGUGCCCCAUCCCUGGAGACAUUCAAAGUCAUGUUGGAUGGGGCCCUGGAUAGGCCCCCAGCCUUGAG
RNAcentral lists this long non-coding RNA (279 nucleotides) under Gallus gallus (chicken). Lineage: Eukaryota; Metazoa; Chordata; Aves; Galliformes; Phasianidae. The record is from RNAcentral.